Molecule: long non-coding RNA, 2126 nt
Organism: Pogona vitticeps (central bearded dragon)
Lineage: Eukaryota; Metazoa; Chordata; Lepidosauria; Squamata; Agamidae
Source: Ensembl
UUCUUUUUAGAUUGCACAGGAAUAGAAGCCCAUUUUAUUCUUCUAGGGCCCUGCAGAUACGUUAGCCCAAACAGUGUCCUUUUGAAAUUGGAAGAGCCCUCCUUAUCUUCAAAUUCCUGUUUCUUCCUCUUCCUGUUCCAUUCCUACCAAACUGACCAAAAUAUAUCAUACCACAACUGGUGUAUGACUCAUAAUGUUCUCUUUGUGUUUAGAAGGUUUGUUGUUGUUGUUUAGUCAUGUCCGACUCUUUGUGACCCCAUGGACCAGAACACGCCGGGCCCUCCUGUCUUCCACUGCCUCCCGGAGUUGGGUCAAAUUCAUGUUGGUCGCUUCGAUGACACUGUCCAACCAUCUCAUCCUCUGUCGUCCCCUUCUCUUGCCUUCACACUUUCCCAACAUCAGGGUCUUUUCCAGGGAGUCUUCUCCCUUGGUGUUAUUACACAACUUCAUACGAUUUAGAAACCCCUCAUUUGUGUCCCACUCCUCUGGUACCCCUUCAUUAGAUGUGGGAAACAUACUGAUGUUGGAUGUACUGUUUUCCCCCAUAAUGAGACCAACAAUUUGCUAUGUUUAGAUCCAACAUCCACAUCCCUUCCAGCAUCUCUGUUGGGUAAGCUGCCACCUAUUGAUAGAAGGUCAUGCAAAAAGCUGGACUGGACUGGAGGAAUCCCAAGCCGGAAUUAAGAAUGCCGGAAGAAAUAUCAACAGCCUCCGAUAUGCAGAUGAUACCACUCUGAUCGCAGAAAGUGAGGAGGAAUUAAGGAACCUUGUAAAUGAGGGUGGAAGAGGAGAGUGCAAAAAAUGGUCUGAAGCUCAAAACCACGACAGAGGGAGAUAACGUUUCCGGAUGAACCAUUUUCCUGCCUUCCCCUUGCCCAAGAAACAUUUGCCGUUGUCAAAACAAAUGGCAGAGGGAGCUGGGAAGAUGGAGCUUCAUCUACUGAGCAUGCUGAUGCAACUAUUCAUCUUGAGGACCGGGCAAGCUCUCAUGACAAAGAUUGUUUGUGCAUCUGGAGAACAAACCUCACUUCCCUGCGAAGUCUCAAGCUCCCAUACACGUUGGUUCUGGUUCCCCUUGAAUCCCACAUGUGCUAACAUAAGUGGGAAUUGGGUGGAGAUAGCCCAGAAUCAUACCACACAUGAAGUGACUCCUCUUCGGUUCAACCAGCGCCUGACAUUCUACAAUCAAAAAUCAUUGCUUCUCAGGAAUCUGGUCAUGAGCGAUGCUGGUAUCUAUCUGUGCCGCCUCCCCAAUGGCUCAGAAACUCACACUGAACUGCAGGUGGACCCAGGCUGCCACAACAACCUGCUUGUCUCCUAUGAGUGGCUUCAUCCUUCUUUGUUGAAACUCAGUUGCCAUCACUGCAUUUUCCAGAGGAGGACAGACUCUUUCCGCUGGGUGGUGAAUUCAAAGCCACUGGGGAACCGACGCUGGGCUAAGAAGAGCAACCAUGGGUCUACCGUCAUGCUACAUCCCUUCCGGCAAACCGUUUGGGGCCGCUGGGAGUGUCAUUCCCUCGAUUACACUUCCUGGGUCUCUGAAAUUUGUUUGGUUGCGCCCAUCAGAUACAUGGAAGCAGGAAACACCAAGAAAGAAAGAAAUGGACAGAUCCAACCAGACAGAAGGAAAUAAUGAAAAAGGAGAAUCUGGAUGAGGUAAGUAUCACCUGGGCAUCCCUCAGGUGGGUCGUGUCUGGCAUAACGCUGGGCUUCUUAACUCCCUGUUCAGAUCUUCUCUCCUUGUGGUUCCUCCUUCCAGAGACCUGCUUCCCUUUAUUAUGCUCAACUACAACAUCCCCGAAGGAAAUCCACCAGCAUUCGAACCGCAGACAGCUCCACGGUGUAUGCAGUCAUCGUCUGACACCAUUUCCAUCAUUUUUCACUCAUGCCUUAAGAGGGAGAGGGAGAGAGAGAGAUACACACACUAUUUCAUGACCUACAAACACUGCUCUGUAAAGUACUAGAAGAUUAUAGUAGACUUUCUACAUAUUUCCAUCUCUAAAUGUUUGGCUCAAACGAGAUGUUAGCGGAAUGCUGAUUCUGUUUGAUUACCCCUUUUCCUCUCCCACAAUAGCAUCUCAACACAGACAAUGAGACUUGCAAAAUAAACUUGUUUGUACUUUCCA